Molecule: ribosomal RNA, 468 nt
Filed under: uncultured bacterium
Lineage: Bacteria
Description: partial 16S ribosomal RNA
Rfam family: Bacterial small subunit ribosomal RNA
Source: RNAcentral
GACGAACGCUGGCGGCGUGCUUAACACAUGCAAGUCGAACGGAAACGCCCUUCUUUUUUGGUGUGCUCGAGUGGCGAAGGCGUACGUAACAGGUGAGUAUCUUGACCUUGACUUUGGGAUAACUUCAAGAAACUGGGGCUACUACCGGAACGGAGCUCAUGCUGCAGGGUGGGGGUUGGAACGUCGCGGCGGUUGGGGAUGGACUGGCGGGUUAUCGGCUUGUUAGUUGGGUGGUGGCUUACCAAGGCUUUGAGGGGUCGCCGACCUGAGAGGGUGACCGGGCACAAUAGGACUGAGGUACGGCGCAGACCCCUACGGGAGACAGCAGUGGGGAGGAUUGCCCAAUGCGCCCAAGUCGGAUGCAGCAGCACCGCGUUCGGGAUGAUGGCCUGCUGGUAGUGAACCGCAGUCGCCUGGGACGAAGCUUUAGUGACGGUAACGAAUAAAUAAGCACCGGCUAACUACGUG